UUCUCCCAGAGCUUCUUUAGAAGGUGAAAAAUGACACUUCAAUAUUAGAAAACCGGUGACACAUAGGAAGUAGAAAGUCAUUGGAAAAAGUCAUUACUAUCUGAAAACAACUGGUUGUUUGAACAGUGAACAACUUUUUAAUUCCUGAGAGAUGCUAACAAUUUUACACAAGAAUCUCUUUAUUCAGAUCCAUGUGUCAUCACAUUCACAGCUCCAGUACAUUAUGAAUAAGAAGGCCCUUAGUCCCAAAAGGUAACCCCCAGAAAUUCUGGGUGCUGUUAACCAGCCCAUAAAGUACACGGUUUGGCCACGUUGAGAACAUGUAAGUGUGCUGGUGACCUGCCAGUAUGAGGUCAAACACCACAGCUUGCUUCCCAAAUGCCAGGAGGUAUUUGUCUCGAUUGAAGUGCGAGUCCCAGCUGUGGGGGAGGGGCGCUAAUACCUUUCAGAACGCCAAGCAUUCUCUAUCCGUAUACAAGUAGCUCUUCACUGAGAGAACUGCCCCCCUGCUUCUUGCGAUUCUGCAGCCGAAACUAACAAUGUCCAUCCUUUAGAGUAGCGUUAAAGCGCUCAUUGGCAAAGAUAGUGUUUGCUUAAAAACAUUCUAGUCAGUAGGGGUAGGUCUACAGCAUGUAUAGGUGCCGGCCAGCAAAUUAAAUCAGCUAUACGUUCAUCACCUUGCACCUUAAAAGCAUCUAAGUUCCAUUGGAACACAUUGUCCUUUUUAUAUUGUGACCCACUGAAAGUUAAUGAUGUACCGCGUCCUGAUAAAAUCCAUUUGCCUGGGUUUAAAUGAGUACAAAUGCAGUCGUGGCACUGCUUCUUGUAGGCUGAUUCCUGGUCACAUCGGCAGCCGCCCCCCCAAAAAAAGCUAAAAGCAAUCAGAAGUCUAAUCUCGAAAUUCCUUUGCAGUCUUGAACCGUAAACUCACAAUAGUUUGUGUAGGCAAUAUCUGUCCUAUAAUGACCUGCCCUUCCCAUAUAGAGGCGGAGCCUAAAUACUGAGCGCUGUUCCCACGUGGAAUGCACAUUUGCUAUCAAACAAGCGCUGGGAAUAACAUGGGGCGGAAAGGGAACCACUGCAGCCCCCUUCACAUACUCCUGUUCAUACAGAUUUAUUGGCAUAUCUCGAACAUUCUUCCAGUCAAGCAGUCUGUUCAGAUCACUACUGAACAAAGGAAGGAGCCAGGACGCAAGUGGAUCAGCAUGGGGUGCCAGCUAGGGUGAUCAAUAAGUAAUUGUUUAUUACUCACACCAGUCCCUGUCCCACUGGAUUUUACAAUCUGAGGUCCCUGUCACAUUCAACACACACUUAGUUCAAGUUUAUCAGGAGCCGGUUAACCUGCCUGUGUGUUUUUGUCAUGCAGGAAAAAACUCAUGCAGAGAAAGGAACUACAUAGAGUUGAACGCAGGGCCCCAGCACUGCAAGGCAGAAGUACUAAUCACUGCCAGUAUUAUUACCCCGGUGCUCUCCCAAAGUUUACUUCCAUCCAUCACAUUCCUGCUCUCUAACAAGUUAGCACGUAACUUCAUCUGUGCUAUUCUCGGUUCUCCUAAGACUGGGCAGGCCUUCCAGUUCUCUUCUAUCCCACUUCCAGUCCCUAUCUACCUCCCCUAUAUUUUUAUCGAAGGGAUGUAAGGUGUCCUUGCUACGCACAGUUCAUAGGGCCAAAUUGAAAGUCAUUGAUUACUGCUGAAAUCAUACCUGAUAUGAGGUGUCCGUAUACCACUGGACUACCAGAGAAAUAAGGGAUGGGAGAUACCACUCCAGAAGCACCCCACUCAGCCAUCUCCCAAUUAAUCCAAAUGCUUAGAAAGGAUUUCCUUUUUUGUAGUAAUAAACAGUACAUUUUACUUGAUCCAAACUAAGAUAUAAUUAAUCCUUAUUGGAAGCAAACCAGCCUAUUGGAUUUAUUUAAUGUUUACAUGAUUUUCUAGUAGACUUAAGGUAUGAAGAUCCAAAUUAUGGAAAUACUUUAUCUGGAAAACCCCAGUCCCGAGUAUUCUGAAUAACAGGUCCCAUCCUGAAAAAGAUGUCUUUCUACACAAAAUGGGAAAGCCAUGAGUGGUGCCUUUUGAGAACCCCAAUGUCUUUUAUGGGUAUUGUUUAUCCAGUAUCAAGCUUCAAGAAAAUCCCAAAUGAAGAUCAGUUGCAUUGGAUAUGUUUGCAUCUUAUAUAUACAGUAUAUCUAUAAUUUCCUAAUAUUCACCUGAGGUGAAAUUCUCUAAGAAUAAAAGCAAACAUUUAUUUUA
Xenopus laevis (African clawed frog) is the source of this 2252-nucleotide long non-coding RNA. RefSeq lists it as uncharacterized. The record is from RefSeq and is a predicted model, not a curated record. NCBI's taxonomy places the organism in Eukaryota, Metazoa, Chordata, Amphibia, Anura, Pipidae. The transcript is spliced from 2 exons.